AAAAAACCAUAUGGACUCCCCAAUGAUUUAUCCUUUUCUUAUUAUUAGCGGAGUUAUCUUUCU
RNAcentral lists this transfer RNA (63 nucleotides) under Valeriana officinalis (common valerian). RNAcentral's name for it is "partial transfer RNA-Leu". Lineage: Eukaryota; Viridiplantae; Streptophyta; Magnoliopsida; Dipsacales; Caprifoliaceae. The record is from RNAcentral.